GCGGGCGAGGGUCGUCCUGACUUCAGGCCUGUUCGCCGAGUGAGUUCUGCUCUGUUCCCGGCGCUUCCCGGCAUUUCCUGGCCUGGGAGUUUCCCGGCGGGUCGUCAGGCAGGGGUCUUGCCCGUGAGCUGCGCAGGUGGUGUUCACAGUGUGGGGGAAAACACGCCAGGCCCCUCGCAACGAGAGAUUUUGCACUCCGACUGAAUGGGAAGCUGUUUCCUGCAGAGGACACCUCAGCUUUGGGAGCAAUGAUGGGAAGACCGAGCACAGUGUGUGGAAGACCCUGCUUGAACAGCACGGCGAUGGUGUAACGGACACGGUGAAUUUUUAAGAGAGUCCUUUUGGCUUUGGGUACAAGUAACGCACCCGUUUGUUUUUGAGGGGUUUCACCACCAAGAUUGGAGCCCCUGCCCGGCAGGAGAUGGCUGCGUUCCCUUUUACAUUCUCUGACCCUUGUUCCCAAAGACACGGCUGAAAGAAA
Molecule: non-coding RNA, 481 nt
Organism: Lepisosteus oculatus (spotted gar)
Lineage: Eukaryota; Metazoa; Chordata; Actinopteri; Semionotiformes; Lepisosteidae
Source: RefSeq, a predicted model, not a curated record